UAUUUAAAAUUUUAUCCGUUUAUACUAUUAAAAACUGGCGUGGCUGAUACAAUAACCAAACAGUGACAUGUGGCUUGCCACGUAUACCUUAUGCUGACAUACCGAGAUCAGUUUUUAACGGUAAACAUUGAUAGAAUUUUUAAUA
This is a non-coding RNA of Gossypium hirsutum (cotton), 145 nucleotides long. The record is from Rfam. NCBI's taxonomy places the organism in Eukaryota, Viridiplantae, Streptophyta, Magnoliopsida, Malvales, Malvaceae.